RNAcentral lists this ribosomal RNA (939 nucleotides) under uncultured bacterium. Its description in RNAcentral is "bacterial SSU rRNA". It matches the Rfam family "Bacterial small subunit ribosomal RNA", at positions 8 to 916 of the family's 1533-position model. The record is from RNAcentral.
AGAGUUUGAUCCUGGCUCAGAACGAACGCUGGCGGCGUGCUUAACACAUGCAAGUCGAACGAGAAGUACGGGUAGCAAUACCUGUAUUGUAAAGUGGCGCACGGGUGAGUAACACGUGGGUAAUCUGCCCUUGAGUUUGGGAUAACCCCGCGAAAGCGGGGCUAAUACCGAAUAAGACCACGGGGACCAAAGUCUCUGAGGUAAAAGGUGGCCUCUAUUCAUAAGCUACCACUUGAGGAUGAGCCCGCGGCCCAUUAGCUAGUUGGCGGGGUAAUGGCCCACCAAGGCUAUGAUGGGUAGCUGGUCUGAGAGGACGAUCAGCCACACUGGAACUGAGACACGGUCCAGACUCCUACGGGAGGCAGCAGUGGGGAAUAUUGCGCAAUGGGCGAAAGCCUGACGCAGCAACGCCGCGUGGGGGAUGAAGGUUUUCGGAUUGUAAACCCCUUUCGAUCGGAACGAAUCUCCUCCUGGUAAACAAUCAGGAGGAUCGACGGUACCGAGAGAAGAAGCCACGGCUAACUCUGUGCCAGCAGCCGCGGUAAGACAGAGGUGGCUAGCGUUGUUCGGAUUUAUUGGGCGUAAAGCGAACGCAGGUGGUUUGGUAAGUCAGGGGUGAAAGUCCGCAGCUUAACUGCGGCACUGCCUUUGAUACUGCCUUUCUUGAGUGCAUGAGGGGGAAGCGGAAUUCCGAGUGUAGAGGUGAAAUUCGUAGAUAUUCGGAGGAACACCGGUGGCGAAGGCGGCUUCCUGGCAUGCAACUGACACUCAUGUUCGAAAGCGUGGGUAGCAAACAGGAUUAGAUACCCUGGUAGUCCACGCCCUAAACGAUGGGCACUAGGUGUGGGAGGUAUCGACCCCUUCCGUGCCGCAGCUAACGCAUUAAGUGCCCCGCCUGGGGAGUACGGCCGCAAGGUUGAAACUCAAAGGAAUUGACGG